GGAGAGGUGGCUGAGUGGUCUAAAGCGACGGAUUGCUAAUCCGUUGUAGUGGUACUAAGCCGCUACCGAGGGUUCGAAUCCCUCCCUCUCCGCCA
Molecule: transfer RNA, 95 nt
Filed under: Planctomycetota bacterium
Lineage: Bacteria; Pseudomonadati; Planctomycetota
Description: Planctomycetes bacterium (sediment metagenome) tRNA-Ser
Rfam family: tRNA
About the family: Transfer RNA (tRNA) molecules are approximately 80 nucleotides in length. Their secondary structure includes four short double-helical elements and three loops (D, anti-codon, and T loops).
Source: RNAcentral